CCUGACGACCAUAGCAAGGUGGUACCACUCCUUCCCAUCCCGAACAGGACAGUGAAACGCCUUCGCGCCGAUGAUAGUGGACGGACGUCUGUGAAAGUAGGUCAUCGUCAGGCUUUUAUUCCG
This 123-nucleotide ribosomal RNA is filed under the name Achromobacter marplatensis. Lineage: Bacteria; Pseudomonadati; Pseudomonadota; Betaproteobacteria; Burkholderiales; Alcaligenaceae. The record is from RNAcentral.